This 404-nucleotide ribosomal RNA is filed under the name uncultured bacterium. RNAcentral's name for it is "bacterial SSU rRNA". It matches the Rfam family "Bacterial small subunit ribosomal RNA", at positions 28 to 424 of the family's 1533-position model. The record is from RNAcentral.
GACGAACGCUGGCGGCGUGCUUAACACAUGCAAGUCGAGCGGGAUCCAACCGGUGGCAACACCGGGGAAGAUCUAGCGGCGAACGGGUGAGUAACACGUGAGCAACCUGCCCCGAAGACUGGGAUAACACCGGGAAACCGGUGCUAAUACCGGAUGUCGUCAUUAGGCCGCAUGACCUGAUGAUGAAAGGAUUCAUCGCUUCGGGAGGGGCUCGCGGGCUAUCAGCUUGNGGUGGGGUAACGGCCUACCAAGGCGACGACGGCUAGCUGGUCUGAGAGGACGACCAGCCACACUGGGACUGAGACACGGCCCAGACUCCUACGGGAGGCAGCAGUGGGGAAUCCUGCGCAAUGGGCGAAAGCCUGACGCAGCAACGCCGCGUGGGGGAUGAAUGCCUUCGGGUU